This 267-nucleotide ribosomal RNA is filed under the name uncultured Staphylococcus sp. Its description in RNAcentral is "partial 16S ribosomal RNA". It matches the Rfam family "Bacterial small subunit ribosomal RNA", at positions 96 to 355 of the family's 1533-position model. The record is from RNAcentral. Lineage: Bacteria; Bacillati; Bacillota; Bacilli; Caryophanales; Staphylococcaceae.
CGGCGGACGGGUGAGUAACACGUGGAUAACCUACCUAUAAGACUGGGAUAACUUCGGGAAACCGGAGCUAAUACCGGAUAAUAUAUUGAACCGCAUGGUUCAAUAGUGAAAGACGGUUUUGCUGUCACUUAUAGAUGGAUCCGCGCCGCAUUAGCUAGUUGGUAAGGUAACGGCUUACCAAGGCAACGAUGCGUAGCCGACCUGAGAGGGUGGAUCGGCCACACUGGAAAUGAGACACGGUCCAGACUCCUACGGGAGGCAGCAGCC